This 251-nucleotide ribosomal RNA is filed under the name uncultured bacterium. RNAcentral describes it as "partial 16S ribosomal RNA". It matches the Rfam family "Bacterial small subunit ribosomal RNA", at positions 525 to 775 of the family's 1533-position model. The record is from RNAcentral.
ACGUAGGGGGCAAGCGUUAUCCGGAUUUACUGGGUGUAAAGGGAGCGUAGACGGCACGGCAAGCCAGAUGUGAAAGCCCGGGGCUCAACUCCGGGACUGCAUUUGGAACUGCUGAGCUAGAGUGUCGGAGAGGCAAGUGGAAUUCCUAGUGUAGCGGUGAAAUGCGUAGAUAUUAGGAGGAACACCAGUGGCGAAGGCGGCUUGCUGGACGAUGACUGACGUUGAGGCUCGAAAGCGUGGGGAGCAAACAG